Herpailurus yagouaroundi (jaguarundi) is the source of this 660-nucleotide long non-coding RNA. RefSeq lists it as uncharacterized. Lineage: Eukaryota; Metazoa; Chordata; Mammalia; Carnivora; Felidae. The transcript has 3 exons. The record is from RefSeq and is a predicted model, not a curated record.
UCUCUCUCUCAAAAUAAAUACGUAAGUUUAAAAAUUUUUAAAAACUCUGAGUUCUGAAGUUAAGGCUUUAAAAUUAAAACUAAACAUAUAUUGGUUAGGAGAGUUUAGGUACGUGAAGAUAUAGAUGUCAGCAAGUCCGAGCAUUUCUUAGUUCCAUGACUGAAAACAUGUCCCUGACCUUCACUUCCAGACAGGUCCUGCAUUAUCCCCACUAUCCCCACUCAAGUCUGACACCAGUGAAAGAACAUGAGAAUGCAAAGUGGGCCCUCGCUAGGAUGGCAAUGUCUUCUAAUUCCUGGCAAUUAUCCUUGAAGUUCAAGUUAGCCAGCAAUUACUGAGUUUGGGAAACAUGGAGAAGAAUGAUACCGAUUUUUAACUUACUAGCAACUGUCUCUUUCAGUUGGGUACCAAAGCCGUGGGUGAUCGUGCGGAGCUCUCCGUACCUGUGCUGUGCUCGCUCACUCUUCUGGCUCAGCAGGAUGUAGUCAUUCAGGCUGAGGAGUGAGGAAGGGGUACAAGUUGGAACUGGUAAGUAAAGUAAAUGUACCCUCUGAGAGGUGAGGUGAGGGUUUGUGAAACUUGUUGGAUUCCAGUAGUAGGAACAACAGAAAGACAAGUAACCAUGGCAACUAUGUGCAGAGGAUGCCACUUGAGGAAGAU